CUCUUGGGGCCAAACAGACACACCCAGUGCCAGUGACUCAGGGAGGAGCCGAGACCUGAACUUGAGCGACGUGGACGGAACACUUCGGGACUCCUGUGCCCUAAUUCUCACUCUCCUUCAGCUAUGUGUCUCCUUGAUUCAGUAUUUCACAAGAGUAAGCAUCCCAUUUCACAAAAGAAGCAAGGCUAGAACCCGGGAACCGAGGGCGAAUGACAUUCUGGUGAAACAUUUCCAUGCUUGAUGGUACCAGACGUCAUACCUGGGCACAUGGAAGAUAAUAUCUAUAACUGGAUUUCCCCAAAGGAAAAUUCUUAAACAAAAUGAGCAAAUAUGCAAAAGAAAGGGAAGAAAACCCUGGAAACAAUGGCUGAAGGACAGCUCCCAAGAAGCAUAAAUGAUUAAAAAGAGUUUUACGGUGUUGAUUACCAGAGGAAUCUCCUUGAGAAAUGGAGCCAGAAACUAUUCUAUCCAUUGCAACCUCCCUUACUCCAGCAGUUCAGGGAAACAAGAGGCUGUCCGCUUCAUACAGACAUACCCACUAAGUCAGCUGUAAAGAGACCGUAUUCUCAGAGAAAGAUUCAAAACCUGAAAGGCAUUCUGCUUCUGCAGGACGCAACAGAACGUGACUUUCUGUUGAGUAGAUGGUAGUGUUGAAAACCAGGCUUCAUCUUUAAAAAGCAACAUGUUCUGACAAGCUGUUAUUUUGUAAUAAUAUUUUCCCUUAUUUUAAAAUGUCUUGUUUUUGUCUUGAUUGCUGUUAUGUUUUCUUUUCUCUUCAAAAUAACAAUUAAAUAAAUAAAAUUUUUUAUAUGACUAUAUUUAGUUAUAGGCUAAAUAAUACUUUUUUUAAUCAAGUCUGUGAAUUUUUCCCAGAGUAUUUGAUUCUUCAAAAAUCUUUAAAUAGAUAAAUGACAGAUGCAAAAAUCUCCCAAAUUACUUGAUAAAUAUGCC
RNAcentral lists this long non-coding RNA (951 nucleotides) under Chinchilla lanigera (long-tailed chinchilla). RNAcentral's name for it is "lncRNA (ENSCLAG00000025181.1)". Lineage: Eukaryota; Metazoa; Chordata; Mammalia; Rodentia; Chinchillidae. The record is from RNAcentral.